Molecule: long non-coding RNA, 233 nt
Organism: Vidua chalybeata
Lineage: Eukaryota; Metazoa; Chordata; Aves; Passeriformes; Viduidae
Exons: 3
Source: RefSeq, a predicted model, not a curated record
UUGGCUCCACGGAAAAGUUCAGAACUAAAAAUCUUGGAUUGCUGACAGGACAUGUGACGGAGCAGCCCCGGCUGAGGAGCCGUCCAGCACCUUUCAUGUCUCACUCCAGACCCCCCCAACUCUUCGUCAUUUGUGGUUUGCAGCGCUGAGAUGACAUCAGUGACUUCUGGGCUGUCCCCCUGACAGAAAAAUCAGAGGCCAUUUGAGCAAGCUUGUCACACACCCUGCCUGAA